UACGUAGGGGGCAAGCGUUGUCCGGAAUCAUUGGGCGUAAAGAGCGUGUAGGCGGCCAGAAAAGUCCGCUGUGAAAACUCGAGGCUCAACUUCGAGCUGUCGGUGGAAACUUUCUGGCUAGAGUCCGGAAGGGGCGAGUGGAAUUCCUGGUGUAGCGGUGAAAUGCGCAGAUAUCAGGAAGAACACCAAUGGCGAAGGCAGCUCUCUGGGACGGUACUGACGCUGAGACGCGAAAGCGUGGGGAGCGAACAGG
This 253-nucleotide ribosomal RNA is filed under the name uncultured bacterium. RNAcentral's name for it is "partial 16S ribosomal RNA". It matches the Rfam family "Bacterial small subunit ribosomal RNA", at positions 524 to 776 of the family's 1533-position model. The record is from RNAcentral.